Molecule: regulatory RNA element, 126 nt
Organism: Intestinimonas butyriciproducens
Lineage: Bacteria; Bacillati; Bacillota; Clostridia; Eubacteriales
Rfam family: azaaromatic riboswitch aptamer (yjdF RNA)
Source: Rfam
AGAUGCGGAGAUAAAAACACAGGCAGGUUGGUAGUCCGGCCACGGCCCGCCGGGGACCGGUCCCGUCCCCCGGCGGCUGUCAGUAGCCCUCCCUCCCAUGGGUCGUCCAUUUUCCGCAGAUAUACU